Molecule: ribosomal RNA, 569 nt
Filed under: uncultured bacterium
Lineage: Bacteria
Description: partial 16S ribosomal RNA
Rfam family: Bacterial small subunit ribosomal RNA
Source: RNAcentral
UGGGGAAUUUUGGACAAUGGGCGAAAGCCUGAUCCAGCAAUGCCGCGUGUGUGAAGAAGGCCUUCGGGUUGUAAAGCACUUUUGUCCGGAAAGAAAUCCUUGGCUCUAAUACAGUCGGGGGGAUGACGGUACCGGAAGAAUAAGCACCGGCUAACUACGUGCCAGCAGCCGCGGUAAUACGUAGGGUGCAAGCGUUAAUCGGAAUUACUGGGCGUAAAGCGUGCGCAGGCGGUUUGCUAAGACCGAUGUGAAAUCCCCGGGCUCAACCUGGGAACUGCAUUGGUGACUGGCAGGCUAGAGUAUGGCAGAGGGGGGUAGAAUUCCACGUGUAGCAGUGAAAUGCGUAGAGAUGUGGAGGAAUACCGAUGGCGAAGGCAGCCCCCCUGGGCCAAUACUGACGCUCAUGCACGAAAGCGUGGGGAGCAAACAGGAUUAGAUACCCUGGUAGUCCACGCCCUAAACGAUGUCAACUAGUUGUUGGGGAUUCAUUUCCUUAGUAACGUAGCUAACGCGUGAAGUUGACCGCCUGGGGGAGUACGGUCGCAAGAUUAAAACUCAAAGGAAUUGAC